AGAGUUUGAUCCUGGCUCAGAACGAACGCUGGCGGCAGGCCUAACACAUGCAAGUCGAACGGGCACCUUCGGGUGUCAGUGGCGGACGGGUGAGUAACGCGUGGGAACCUGGCUCUUGGUUCGGGAUAACUCCGGGAAACUGGAGCUAAUACCGGAUACGUCCUUCGGGAGAAAGAUUUAUCGCCGAGAGGUGGGCCCGCGUCCGAUUAGCUAGUUGGUGAGGUAAAGGCUCACCAAGGCUGCGAUCGGUAGCCGGCCUGAGAGGGCGACCGGCCACACUGGGACUGAGACACGGCCCAGACUCCUACGGGAGGCAGCAGUGGGGAAUAUUGCGCAAUGGACGAAAGUCUGACGCAGCAACGCCGCGUGAGGGAUGACGGCCUUCGGGUUGUAAACCUCUUUCAGCAGGGACGAAGCGAGAGUGACGGUACCUGCAGAAGAAGGACCGGCCAACUACGUGCCAGCAGCCGCGGUAAUACGUAGGGUCCGAGCGUUGUCCGGAAUUAUUGGGCGUAAAGGGCUCGUAGGCGGUUCGUCACGUCGGGAGUGAAAACUCGGAGCUUAACUCCGAGCCUGCUUCCGAUACGGGCAGACUAGAGGUAGGCAGGGGAGAGCGGAACUCCUGGUGUAGCGGUGGAAUGCGCAGAUAUCAGGAAGAACACCGGUGGCGAAGGCGGCUCUCUGGGCCUUACCUGACGCUGAGGAGCGAAAGCGUGGGUAGCGAACAGGAUUAGAUACCCCGGUAGUCC
Molecule: ribosomal RNA, 749 nt
Filed under: uncultured Actinomycetales bacterium
Lineage: Bacteria; Bacillati; Actinomycetota; Actinomycetes; Actinomycetales
Description: bacterial SSU rRNA
Rfam family: Bacterial small subunit ribosomal RNA
Source: RNAcentral